CCUACGGGGGGCAGCAGUGAGGAAUAUUGGUCAAUGGACGAGAGUCUGAACCAGCCAAGUAGCGUGAAGGAUGACUGCCCUAUGGGUUGUAAACUUCUUUUAUAUGGGAAUAAAAUGUUCCACGUGUGGGCUUUUGUAUGUACCAUAUGAAUAAGGAUCAGCUAACUCCGUGCCAGCAGCCGCGGUAAUACGGAGGAUCCGAGCGUUAUCCGGAUUUAUUGGGUUUAAAGGGAGCGUAGGUGGAGUAAUAAGUCAGUUGUGAAAGUUUGCGGCUCAACCGUAAAAUUGCAGUUGAAACUGGCAGUCUUGAGUACAGUAGAGGUGAGCGGAAUUCGUGGUGUAGCGGUGAAAUGCUUAGAUAUCACGAAGAACUCCGAUGGCGAAGGCAGCUCACUGGACUGCAACUGACACUGAGGCUCGAAAGUGUGGGUAUCAAACAGGAUUAGAUACCCUGGUAGUC
This 460-nucleotide ribosomal RNA is filed under the name uncultured bacterium. Its description in RNAcentral is "partial 16S ribosomal RNA". It matches the Rfam family "Bacterial small subunit ribosomal RNA", at positions 338 to 795 of the family's 1533-position model. The record is from RNAcentral.